UUCUUCUUGUGUUUGGAUGUGAAGUAGGAUCUGCCCACUGACUGUAUGUUAAAGGGCCGCGGUAUUUUGACCGUGCAAAGGUAGCAUAAUCAUUAGUUUUUUAAUUGAGGACUGGAAUGAAUGAUUGUACGAGAGGUAAUCUGUUUCUAUUUAUUUAUAUAUUGAAUUUAAAUUUUAAGUUAAAAUGCUUAAAUUUUUUAAUGGGACGAGAAGACCCUAUAGAGUUUUAUUGUUAAUUGGUUAUUUAGUUUGAUUGUUUGUUAAUUGGUUAUUAAUUUGGUUGGGGUGAUUGGAAGAUAUUUAAAACUCUUUUAUUUGAUUUUUAUUUAUUUAUUUAUUUGUGAUCCAUUUUUAGUGAUUGUUAGGAAAAAUUACC
This 376-nucleotide ribosomal RNA is filed under the name Lauraesilpha koghiensis. RNAcentral's name for it is "partial 16S ribosomal RNA". The record is from RNAcentral. Lineage: Eukaryota; Metazoa; Arthropoda; Insecta; Blattodea; Tryonicidae.